ACCGCCGUCUGGCUGGUGGACAAUACAACGAUCAGCUUCAAGCAGAUCGCGGAUUUCGUCGAGAUGCACGAACUUGAGGUUCAGGGCAUUGCCGACGGUG
RNAcentral lists this transfer RNA (100 nucleotides) under Roseovarius aestuarii. RNAcentral describes it as "tRNA-Sec". The record is from RNAcentral. Lineage: Bacteria; Pseudomonadati; Pseudomonadota; Alphaproteobacteria; Rhodobacterales; Roseobacteraceae.